RNAcentral lists this ribosomal RNA (1746 nucleotides) under Listeria monocytogenes. RNAcentral's name for it is "partial 23S ribosomal RNA". It matches the Rfam family "Bacterial large subunit ribosomal RNA", at positions 544 to 2287 of the family's 2925-position model. The record is from RNAcentral. Lineage: Bacteria; Bacillati; Bacillota; Bacilli; Caryophanales; Listeriaceae.
CAGUUCCUGAAACCGUGUGCCUACAAGUAGUUAGAGCCCGUUAAUGGGUGAUAGCGUGCCUUUUGUAGAAUGAACCGGCGAGUUACGAUUUGUUGCAAGGUUAAGCGGAAAAAGCGGAGCCGUAGCGAAAGCGAGUCUGAAUAGGGCGCAUAAGUAACAGGUCGUAGACCCGAAACCAGGUGAUCUACCCAUGUCCAGGAUGAAGGUAAGGUAAUACUUACUGGAGGUCCGAACCCACGCACGUUGAAAAGUGCGGGGAUGAGGUGUGGGUAGCGGAGAAAUUCCAAUCGAACUUGGAGAUAGCUGGUUCUCUCCGAAAUAGCUUUAGGGCUAGCCUCGAGGUAAAGAGUCAUGGAGGUAGAGCACUGUUUGGACUAGGGGCCCUUCUCGGGUUACCGAAUUCAGAUAAACUCCGAAUGCCAUGUACUUAUACUCGGGAGUCAGACUGCGAGUGAUAAGAUCCGUAGUCGAAAGGGAAACAGCCCAGACCACCAGUUAAGGUCCCCAAAUAUAUGUUAAGUGGAAAAGGAUGUGGGGUUGCUUAGACAACCAGGAUGUUGGCUUAGAAGCAGCCACCAUUGAAAGAGUGCGUAAUAGCUCACUGGUCGAGUGACCCCGCGCCGAAAAUGUACCGGGGCUAAACAUAUUACCGAAACUGUGGAUGAACCUCUUUAGAGGUUCGUGGUAGGAGAGCGUUCUAAGGGCGGUGAAGUCAGACCGGAAGGACUGGUGGAGCGCUUAGAAGUGAGACUGCCGGUAUGAGUAGCGAAAGAAGGGUGAGAAUCCCUUCCACCGAAUAUCUAAGGUUUCCUGAGGAAGGCUCGUCCGCUCAGGGUUAGUCGGGACCUAAGCCGAGGCCGAUAGGCGUAGGCGAUGGACAACAGGUAGAGAUUCCUGUACCAGUGCUAAUUGUUUAACCGAUGGGGUGACACAGAAGGAUAGGGAAUCGCACGAAUGGAAAUGUGCGUCCAAGCAGUGAGUGUGAGAAGUAGGCAAAUCCGCUUCUCGCGAAGCAUGAGCUGUGAUGGGGAAGGAAAUUAAGUACGGAAGUUCCUGAUUUCACGCUGUCAAGAAAAGCCUCUAGGAAGAGUAGUACUGCCCGUACCGCAAACCGACACAGGUAGAUGAGGAGAGAAUCCUAAGGUGAGCGAGAGAACUCUCGUUAAGGAACUCGGCAAAAUGACCCCGUAACUUCGGGAGAAGGGGUGCUCUAUUAGGGUGCAAGCCCGAGAGAGCCGCAGUGAAUAGGCCCAGGCGACUGUUUAGCAAAAACACAGGUCUCUGCAAAACCGUAAGGUGACGUAUAGGGGCUGACGCCUGCCCGGUGCUGGAAGGUUAAGAGGAGUGCUUAGCUUCGGCGAAGGUACGAAUUGAAGCCCCAGUAAACGGCGGCCGUAACUAUAACGGUCCUAAGGUAGCGAAAUUCCUUGUCGGGUAAGUUCCGACCCGCACGAAAGGCGCAACGAUCUGGGCACUGUCUCAACGAGAGACUCGGUGAAAUUAUAGUACCUGUGAAGAUGCAGGUUACCCGCGACAGGACGGAAAGACCCCGUGGAGCUUUACUGCAACCUGAUAUGGAAUGUUUGUACCGCUUGUACAGGAUAGGUAGGAGCCGAAGAGACGUGUGCGCUAGCAUACGAGGAGGCAAUGGUGGGAUACUACCCUGGCUGUAUGACCAUUCUAACCCGCCACGCUUAGCGCGUGGGGAGACAGUGUCAGGUGGGCAGUUUGACUGGGGCGGUCGCC